Molecule: long non-coding RNA, 619 nt
Organism: Hyaena hyaena (striped hyena)
Lineage: Eukaryota; Metazoa; Chordata; Mammalia; Carnivora; Hyaenidae
Exons: 2
Source: RefSeq, a predicted model, not a curated record
GCCCAGGCAGCAACAGUGGGGAUCUGAAAUCAGGGAAGGCCGAAUGGACAGACUUCCUAGCCUCGGUGUCUUUUCUCCUGCCGUUUGUGCCUCCAUCAAAAACCUCCCUCAUGUGACUCUCCUAUCCGUGUGCCCGGGAUCGCCAGGAAAAGUUACCCCAAAAAAGGCAACUGUAUGUGCUGCAUCAAUUCAGAGGCACGUGCACGUUGUCAGGAAUCACUUUUUAAAGACACCAUAGAUUUGACCUAGAUGCAGAUUCUGACUUCACUGCUUUCCAAGCUGUAUGACUUUGGACAAAUCACUUCUCUAGAUCUCAGGCUUCUCCACUGAAACGUGGUGAGAAUUCAAAGAAAUUGUGUCUGCCAAGUGAACCCCCCAAGGCAUGCCCCCCACCCACUUUUCUUGCUGAUCCUUUCUCCCUAGUACUCAUGUUUAUUAUAUAUUUUCUUUUUGUCAUUGUGUUUUUUUGGGCUCUCUUCCCCGUCAGAAUGUAAGCUCUACGAGAGCAAGGAAUUUCAUCGGUUUGGUUCACUGAUGGAUCUCCAAAGCUUAAAAGAAUUGCUGGCACACAAUAGGUGUUCCAGAGAUAUGUACUGAAUAAAUGAAUGAGUAGAAACUA